AACGAACGCUGGCGGCAUGCCUAACACAUGCAAGUCGAACGAAACCUUCGGGUCUUUUGGCGCACGGGUGCGUAACGCGUGGGAACCUGCCCUUAGGUUCGGCAUAACUCCCCGAAAGGGGUGCUAAUACCGGAUAAUAUCUUCUGACCAAAGAUUUAUCGCCUUUGGAUGUGCCCGCGUUGGAUUAGCUAGUUGGUAGGGUAAAAGCAUACCAAGGCGCCGAUCCAUAGCUGGGUUGAGAGAAUGAUCAGCCACACUGGGACUGAGACACGGCCCAGACUCCUACGGGAGGCAGCAGUGGGGAAUGGUGGACAAUGGGCGAAAGCCUGAUCGAGCAAUGCCGGGUGAGUGAUGAAGGCCUUAGGGUUGUAAAGCUCUUUUACCCGGGAUGAUAAUGACAGUACCGGGAGAAUAAGCUCCGGCUAACUACGUG
RNAcentral lists this ribosomal RNA (433 nucleotides) under uncultured bacterium. RNAcentral describes it as "partial 16S ribosomal RNA". It matches the Rfam family "Bacterial small subunit ribosomal RNA", at positions 29 to 507 of the family's 1533-position model. The record is from RNAcentral.